This 790-nucleotide long non-coding RNA is filed under the name Papio anubis (olive baboon). RNAcentral's name for it is "lncRNA (ENSPANG00000051078.1)". Lineage: Eukaryota; Metazoa; Chordata; Mammalia; Primates; Cercopithecidae. The record is from RNAcentral.
GAUGUCCAGGCAGCAGCAUGACUUUGUGACAACAGCUACAAGGAGAGAGACCUGAACCUCAGAUCUGCCACACACUGUGAAGCCUGGGCAGGUCUCUACCUUUUUGAGCUUCAGUGUCCUGACCAAGAACACAGGUAGCAACAUGUUUCCCAAGGCUGGGAAGCGGUGCUGUUUCAGCAAUUGCUCAUUUUCAGUUCCAGAGACACAAGAUCAAGUGCUACUUCCUAUCAGCUGGAGUCACUGCCCUGCUUGUCACCAUCAUCGUCAUCGUCACCUCUGUUCGAAAGUGAUGCCACCCGUGAUACACAUUCAUGGUGUCUGUGCAGGCCCUGGCCUGGGCCCAGGGACACCUCCGUGGACACCUCCGUGGACAGGACAGGUCUCUGCCUGCAGGCGCAACCAUCUGGCUAGGAGCAUGGACAGAGAGUGUGAUGAGGCCACAGGUGAAGCCCCUGAGGUGGGAAGUGCUGGGGGAGGGAGCCCUUAUCAAUGGGAGGUCCUCAUCAGCUCAGCUGCCGUAACCAAGCACCACAGGUGGCUUCAACCACAGAAGAAACUGCCCUUUGCCCUGGAGGCUGGAAGUCCCAGAUCAGGGUGCUGUCAGGGUUGGGUUCUGAUGGGGCCCUUCCGGGCUGCUGAGGGCGACCUCUCCUACAUCCUCACGUGGCAGAGGGAGGGCAGGAGCUCUUGGGGCCUGGAUCCCACGAGGAGGCUGUACCCUCAGGACCACAGCACCUCCCAGAGGCCCUACCUCUCACACCAUCACCCUGGGGGUUAUUUUCACAUUUGA